GGGGUUGUAGCUCAGUGGUAGAGUGCUUACCUCACACGUGUUAGGCACUGGCUUCAGUUCUCCGCACCACAUAAAAAUAGACAUUGUGACAAUCUACAACUAAUAUAUAUAUAUAUAUAUAUAUAUAUAUAUAUAUAUAUAUAUUAAAAAAAGAAAAAAAAAAGGUGCACACGGAAUGCCCUUCAUUUUAGGGCUGGGGCUGAAGCUCAGUGACAGAGCGUUUCUCUAGCAUGCAUGAGGCACUGGGUUCAAUCCUCAGCACCACA
This 266-nucleotide transfer RNA is filed under the name Marmota monax (woodchuck). RNAcentral's name for it is "tRNA.Val". Lineage: Eukaryota; Metazoa; Chordata; Mammalia; Rodentia; Sciuridae. The record is from RNAcentral.